This is a non-coding RNA of Petromyzon marinus (sea lamprey), 586 nucleotides long. Lineage: Eukaryota; Metazoa; Chordata; Hyperoartia; Petromyzontiformes; Petromyzontidae. The record is from RefSeq and is a predicted model, not a curated record.
CCACCACCACCACCACCACUCACCACUCCUCACCACUCACCACUCCUCACCACCACUCCUCACCACUCCUCACCAUGGCCGGCCCUGCACUCCGCGCGAGCGUCCGCGCGGUGAGACAAAGACGGACGGGGCCUACACGGGCAGCGCUCAUCCUGACUCCGGCUGCUGUUAUGAAGAUCAGACAGCUCAUGGAGAACAAACCAGAAUACUUAGGUGUUAAGGUUGGAGUGCGGACCCGGGGCUGCAACGGGCUCUCGUACACACUGGAGUACACUGCCUCAGCAGGAGCCCUUGAUGAAGAAGUCACACAGGAUGGCGUGCGCGUGUACGUGGACCAGAAGGCGCAACUGUCUCUGCUGGGCUCAGAGAUGGACUACUCCGAGAGCCGGCUGGGCUCGGAGUUCGUCUUCAACAAUCCCAACGUGCGGGGCACCUGCGGUUGUGGGGAGAGCUUCAACGUCUGACUAACACAAUAAGCACACACACUAACACAUACAUACACUAACACAAUAAACACACACAUACACACUAACACAUACACUAACACAAUAAACACAUACAUACACUAACACAAUAGACAUACAGA